Molecule: transfer RNA, 72 nt
Filed under: Camelus bactrianus (Bactrian camel)
Lineage: Eukaryota; Metazoa; Chordata; Mammalia; Artiodactyla; Camelidae
Also listed under: 2 other names
Rfam family: tRNA
About the family: Transfer RNA (tRNA) molecules are approximately 80 nucleotides in length. Their secondary structure includes four short double-helical elements and three loops (D, anti-codon, and T loops). Further hydrogen bonds mediate the characteristic L-shaped molecular structure. tRNAs have two regions of fundamental functional importance: the anti-codon, which is responsible for specific mRNA codon recognition, and the 3' end, to which the tRNAs corresponding amino acid is attached (by aminoacyl-tRNA synthetases). tRNAs cope with the degeneracy of the genetic code in two manners: having more than one tRNA (with a specific anti-codon) for a particular amino acid; and 'wobble' base-pairing, i.e. permitting non-standard base-pairing at the 3rd anti-codon position.
Source: Rfam by way of RNAcentral
GAGGGCAUAGCUCAGUAGUAGAGCAUGUGCUUAGCAUGCAUAAGGUCCUGGGUUCAAUCCCCAGCACCUCUA